Molecule: transfer-messenger RNA, 348 nt
Filed under: Candidatus Aminicenantes bacterium ADurb.Bin147
Lineage: Bacteria; Candidatus Aminicenantota
Also listed under: 3 other names
Description: transfer-messenger RNA, SsrA
Rfam family: transfer-messenger RNA
About the family: Bacterial tmRNA, also known as 10Sa RNA or SsrA, is named for its dual tRNA and mRNA-like properties.
Source: RNAcentral
GGGGGCGUAUGGAUUCGACGGAGAUAAUGAGGCGAAAGAGGCAUGCCGAGAUCCCAUCUCUCUCGUUAAACGGUGGAACCCAAGUAAGUGCAGAAACACUUCCUCUCGCUGCUUAAUUAGUUAGGCGGCCGUUCCCCGGACCCGCUCCCACCGGGUCCCCGGAGCGCCAACCCGUGGGAUAGCGAGCCGGGCCGGCCUUGAGCCCGGGGAGCGAAACAACAUCGAGGCUGGCCGAGCGGCCCCUUCCUCUUCGGGAACCGCGAGGCGAGAUGAAAGAAGAGGAUAAGCAUGUAGACUCUUCCCGCUGAAUGUCUUCGGACGCGGGUUCGAUUCCCGCCGCCUCCACCA